CAGUCGCCACGGUAAUACGUAGGUGGCAAGCGUUGUCCGGAAUUAUUGGGCGUAAAGGGCUCGCAGGCGGUUUCUUAAGUCUGAUGUGAAAGCCCCCGGCUCAACCGGGGAGGGUCAUUGGAAACUGGGAAACUUGAGUGCAGAAGAGGAGAGUGGAAUUCCACGUGUAGCGGUGAAAUGCGUAGAGAUGUGGAGGAACACCAGUGGCGAAGGCGACUCUCUGGUCUGUAACUGACGCUGAGGAGCGAAAGCGUGGGGAGCGAACAAGAUUAGAUACCCGGUAGUCCCUGUCUCUUAUACA
RNAcentral lists this ribosomal RNA (301 nucleotides) under uncultured bacterium. RNAcentral's name for it is "partial 16S ribosomal RNA". It matches the Rfam family "Bacterial small subunit ribosomal RNA", at positions 509 to 808 of the family's 1533-position model. The record is from RNAcentral.